AUUUGGUCAGGAAUGGAGAAAAAAAAGACAUCCACGUUACAUAUUUAUUGACCACAUAUGUAUGUACUGAAUGUUAUAUUCCAUACCACACGCACUAGUACAGAAGGACUAAAACCACAUCCAUAAUCCUUAAAUACUAAACACUAUCUCAACUCCUAAAUACUGAAUCAUAAAUCAUAAUCCAAAUAUAAACUAUAAUUAGGUGACUGAAUGACACUAAAAUGAAUAGAUAAAAUAUAAGACUUUUCAAUAAAGAAUGCAUUCCAUAUUAACCCAAUACACAACUUUUAAAUACUAAACACAAACCAAACUUUAAAAUAUUAAACCCAAAUAAACCUUAAUUAUCAGCCCUAAACUCAAUUAUCAAAAUAUGAAAAUAUUAUAAUAUUAAACUAAAUCCAGGCCUAACUUUUAAAUAGUGUAGGGCUCUAACCCAACACACAACUUCUAAAUCCUGAUUACAGACCUAACUUUUGAAUACUAAACCCUAAACUGCUAUCACUAAACCCAAACCUCAACUUAUAUUUUUCAAAUACUAAACCCUAAAUCCUGAUUACUAAACUCUAAACCCAAAUAGAAUGGAACAAAAUACAUAGUAUAAUACAUAUUGGGAACAAAAUAGAACACUCUUUAUUAAUCGAGAAAUGGAACGAUAAUGAUAGGGUCACUAAACUCAAACCUCAACCCUACCUUCUAAAUACUAAACCCUAAAUCUUAAUCAUUAAACCUUAAACCCAAGUAUAAACCCUAAACCCAAAUAUAAUGGAACAAAAUACCAUAUUUCUCAAAUGUUGAUAUGGCUAUGCCUUCAUGGAAGGUGGUAAUGUUUGCUUCAAUGUCAAUCCCAAUCGUACAUACACUAAACCCAAUCAACUAAUCAUUAAACUCAAUCAACUAAUCACUAAUCAAUAAAUAGAAUAGUACAAACUGACCAAAUAAACCUUAAUUAUCAGCCCUAAACUCAAUUAUCAAAAUAUGAAAAUAUUAUAAUAUUAAACUAAAUCCAGGCCUAACUUUUAAAUAGUGUAGGGCUCUAACCCAACACACAACUUCUAAAUCCUGAUUACAGACCUAACUUUUGAAUACUAAACCCUAAACUGCUAUCACUAAACCCAAACCUCAACUUAUAUUUUUCAAAUACUAAACCCUAAAUCCUGAUUACUAAACUCUAAACCCAAAUAGAAUGGAACAAAAUACAUAGUAUAAUACAUAUUGGGAACAAAAUAGAACACUCUUUAUUAAUCGAGAAAUGGAACGAUAAUGAUAGGGUCACUAAACUCAAACCUCAACCCUACCUUCUAAAUACUAAACCCUAAAUCUUAAUCAUUAAACCUUAAACCCAAGUAUAAACCCUAAACCCAAAUAUAAUGGAACAAAAUACCAUAUUUCUCAAAUGUUGAUAUGGCUAUGCCUUCAUGGAAGGUGGUAAUGUUUGCUUCAAUGUCAAUCCCAAUCGUACAUACACUAAACCCAAUCAACUAAUCAUUAAACUCAAUCAACUAAUCACUAAUCAAUAAAUAGAAUAGUACAAACUGAUGAAAUUAUGAAAUGUUUAUGAUUGCAUGUAAGAAGUUAAUGCUGAUCUCAACCCCAACUACCAACUAUUAAAUACUAAACUCUAAACUCUAAAUCCUAAUUACUAAACCCAGGCCUAACUUUUAAAUAGUGUAGGGCUCUAACCCAACACACAACUUCUAAAUCCUGAUUACAGACCUAACUUUUGAAUACUAAACCCUAAACUGCUAUCACUAAACCCAAACCUCAACUUAUAUUUUUCAAAUACUAAACCCUAAAUCCUGAUUACUAAACUCUAAACCCAAAUAGAAUGGAACAAAAUACAUAGUAUAAUACAUAUUGGGAACAAAAUAGAACACUCUUUAUUAAUCGAGAAAUGGAACGAUAAUGAUAGGGUCACUAAACUCAAACCUCAACCCUACCUUCUAAAUACUAAACCCUAAAUCUUAAUCAUUAAACCUUAAAUCCAAGUAUAAACUCUAAACCCAAAUAGAAUGGAACAAAAAACCAUAUUUCUCAAAUGUUGAUAUGGCUAUGCCAUGGAAGGUGGUAAUGUUUGCUUCAAUGUCAAUUUCAAUCGUACAUAAACUAAACCCAAUCAACUAAUCAUUAAACCCAAUCAACUAAUCACUAAUCAAUAAAUAGAAUAGUACAAACUGAUGAAAUUAUGAAAUGUUUAUGAUUGCAUGUAAGAAGUUAAUGCUGAUCUCAACCCCAACUACCAACUAUUAAAUACUAAACUCUAAACUCUAAAUCCUAAUUACUAAACCCUAAACCUAAAUAAAUAGAUU
RNAcentral lists this long non-coding RNA (2306 nucleotides) under Brassica napus (rape). RNAcentral describes it as "long non-coding RNA (BNAP_LNC016504)". Lineage: Eukaryota; Viridiplantae; Streptophyta; Magnoliopsida; Brassicales; Brassicaceae. The record is from RNAcentral.